RNAcentral lists this ribosomal RNA (46 nucleotides) under uncultured Dinobryon. RNAcentral's name for it is "partial Eukaryotic large subunit ribosomal RNA". The record is from RNAcentral. Lineage: Eukaryota; Chrysophyceae; Chromulinales.
GCAUAUCUUCGAGGUGACCUAAUAUAAUCCUAUUGCUUGUUUGGGG